AGGUUGUGAUGUGGGCAUUUCCUUAUCAAGUCUGUGAAUCGCUCCCAUACCUCAAAUAGUGAUUCAGUGUCCAAUUGUGCAUAAGCUGUAAUCUCCUGAUGCAACUU
Dioscorea cayenensis subsp. rotundata (Guinea yam) is the source of this 107-nucleotide small nucleolar RNA. The record is from RefSeq and is a predicted model, not a curated record. Lineage: Eukaryota; Viridiplantae; Streptophyta; Magnoliopsida; Dioscoreales; Dioscoreaceae.